UCCGGUUUAUCACCGGCAGUCUCGCUAGAGUCCCCAACUGAAUGAUGGUAACUAGCGACAGGGGUUGCGCUCGUUGCCGGACUUAACCGAACACCUCACAGCACGAGCUGACGACAGCCAUGCAGCACCUGUCUCCGAGCUCCUUCGUGAGAAGGCACCCCCACCUUUCAGUGGGGUACUCGGGAUGUCAAGCCUGGGUAAGGUUCUGCGCGUUGCUUCGAAUUGAACCACAUGCUCCACCGCUUGUGCGGGCCCCCGUCAAUUCCUUUGAGUUUUAGCCUUGCGGCCGUACUCCCCAGGCGGGGUGCUUAAUGCGUUAGCUGCGGCACGGAAGACGUCGAUAGCCUCCCACACCUAGCACCCAUCGUUUACGGCUGGGACUAC
RNAcentral lists this unclassified non-coding RNA (384 nucleotides) under uncultured Pseudobdellovibrionaceae bacterium. RNAcentral's name for it is "uncultured Bdellovibrionaceae bacterium contains 16S-23S intergenic spacer region". The record is from RNAcentral. Lineage: Bacteria; Pseudomonadati; Bdellovibrionota; Bdellovibrionia; Bdellovibrionales; Pseudobdellovibrionaceae.